Molecule: long non-coding RNA, 282 nt
Organism: Chinchilla lanigera (long-tailed chinchilla)
Lineage: Eukaryota; Metazoa; Chordata; Mammalia; Rodentia; Chinchillidae
Exons: 3
Source: RefSeq, a predicted model, not a curated record
GCCCAUGAUACGUUAAGCAGCGGCAGUUUGAGCGUCUGCAAGUGGAAGGAGGAAGUGGGUAAAAUAACAAUGUAGAGAUACGUUACAUACUCACGGUAUGACCCAGUCAUUCUAACAGCUCAGCAUUUGUCUAAGGGCAGAAACUGUUCCCACAAACGCUUGGAGAUGAUGUUCACAGCAGCUUUAGUGCAAAUCCCAGUGCCUGUCAAGAGGUGUGUGUAGGGGAUUACAGUGUUUGUAACUGUGGGUACCCGUAAAAAGUCUGAAUGCCCCAGAACUUUG